GGUGAGUAACACGUGGAUAACCUACCUAUAAGACUGGGAUAACUUCGGGAAACCGGAGCUAAUACCGGAUAAUAUUUUGAACCGCAUGGUUCAAAAGUGAAAGACGGUCUUGCUGUCACUUAUAGAUGGAUCCGCGCUGCAUUAGCUAGUUGGUAAGGUAACGGCUUACCAAGGCGACGAUGCAUAGCCGACCUGAGAGGGUGAUCGGCCACACUGGAACUGAGACACGGUCCAG
This 235-nucleotide ribosomal RNA is filed under the name uncultured Staphylococcus sp. RNAcentral's name for it is "partial 16S ribosomal RNA". It matches the Rfam family "Bacterial small subunit ribosomal RNA", at positions 105 to 334 of the family's 1533-position model. Lineage: Bacteria; Bacillati; Bacillota; Bacilli; Caryophanales; Staphylococcaceae. The record is from RNAcentral.